This 269-nucleotide long non-coding RNA is filed under the name Hordeum vulgare. RNAcentral's name for it is "long non-coding RNA (HVUL_LNC005921)". Lineage: Eukaryota; Viridiplantae; Streptophyta; Magnoliopsida; Poales; Poaceae. The record is from RNAcentral.
GGGAAACGGGAAAUGGAUAUGCGAUUUGGAAAUUUUCAGACAGCGAUGGUUGCUCUUUUUUUGUUUUUGUCUCUUUUUAUUUUUUGCGGCUAGGUUAUUAUUAAUAAUGAUGUGGAGGGGUUGGUCUGUACACGAUAAAUCCAUAUUUACUCGCAUAUACUCCUUCCGUUCCUAAAUAUAAGACAUUUUAAAGAUUUCACUAUGGACUGCAUAUGGAUGUAUAUAGACAUAUUUUAGAAUAUAGAUUCACUCAUUUUGCUCCGUAUGUA